UACGUAGGGAGCAAGCGUUGUUCGGAUUUACUGGGCGUAAAGGGCGCGUAGGCGGCAGAUCAAGUCAGCUGUGAAAUCUCCGAGCUUAACUCGGAACUGUCAGCUGAUACUGUUUUGCUAGAGUGCGGAAGGGGCAAUCGGAAUUCUUGGUGUAGCGGUGAAAUGCGUAGAUAUCAGGAGGAAUACCGGCGGUGUAGACGGCUCUCUGGACCGCCACUGACGCUGAGACACGAAAGCGUGGGUAGCAAACAGG
RNAcentral lists this ribosomal RNA (253 nucleotides) under uncultured bacterium. RNAcentral's name for it is "partial 16S ribosomal RNA". It matches the Rfam family "Bacterial small subunit ribosomal RNA", at positions 524 to 776 of the family's 1533-position model. The record is from RNAcentral.